RNAcentral lists this long non-coding RNA (435 nucleotides) under Ailuropoda melanoleuca (giant panda). Its description in RNAcentral is "lncRNA (ENSAMEG00000030342.1)". Lineage: Eukaryota; Metazoa; Chordata; Mammalia; Carnivora; Ursidae. The record is from RNAcentral.
UGGCCCCCGAGCGCGGGGAGCGCGGCCCAAGCGUCCUCCGCGUCUCCCGGGACAACCUCGGGCGCUGCCCUCUCAGCAGCGGCGGUUAAUUGGAUUCGGGACGGAGGGGGGGCACGGCAGCCUACCGCUGGGGCCAAUCGAAGACCUAGAAAGCCCUAUAUGCAAAUACAUGAGGGCUGGGCGUACCCCAAAUUAGGAGGAGCGAGGGUCGGCUGACGGGUUGUCCGGCAGCCAAUGGGAGCGUGUCUCCUUAAUCUUUUGAGGAGGGGGCCCGCAGGUGUGGUUGCGAGCGGUACGGGCCGCCGAGCGGGGGCAAGACCCGGGCAUAGGAAUCGCGGGUACCAUUCAAGCGGCUCUCAUGUCAUAGAUAGCCUAGAAUCCAGGGGAAGGUAGGUAAGUACGCUGUGGUGACUAGUUCCUUUAGAAGUACGUGGG